RNAcentral lists this transfer RNA (54 nucleotides) under Oryctolagus cuniculus (rabbit). It matches the Rfam family "tRNA". From Rfam's summary of the family: Transfer RNA (tRNA) molecules are approximately 80 nucleotides in length. Lineage: Eukaryota; Metazoa; Chordata; Mammalia; Lagomorpha; Leporidae. The record is from Rfam by way of RNAcentral.
GGCGCUGUGGCUUAGUAGGUAAAGCUGGCACGGGUUCGAGUCCCGGCUGCUCCA